CUACUUUCCUAAUUCAUUUCUUCAGACAUUACAAUCCCUACCUCUCCAAGAACGACCUUGUCCUCAAGGUCUUUGUUGAGCAACAAAAUCAGGAAAUCUGCUUUUGAUAUAUCUCCAAUCCUCCCAAGUGGCAUCAUCCUCCCUUAAAUUUGCCCAAUGAAUUAGAACUUUCACCCCCACACCAUUAUUUUCCUUCGCAAUACGCCUUUAAAGGAUUGCAACAGGUUGAAUCAAGAUUUAUCCUUCGUUAUCACAAAUUGGUGGCUGUGGCUGUGGAGUAAUGGAUGGACCAACACGCUUCUUCAACUGAGAGAUGUGAAAGACAAAAUGCAGCUGAGACCCUUUAGGAAGCUCUAACCGGGUCUGAUACUUACAGGUGCUGCAUCAGGCUUGAGGGGAAUAGAGUGAUCAUGAUCCCUCCUUGGUAGCAAGGACUUUGGCUCUGCAAACACCUUGAGAAAGUCCUGGAGUACUGAUCUGAUUUCUUCAGCCAAGAUCUGGGAUCUCCCUCUUCAAAGUAAGGGCAAUCCACUUUAGCAGCAACACUGUUUGAGUCUAGAAGAAUUCUCCUGUGGUUCCAUCAUCCUCAUUUUGCUGCUCGAUCCAUCCAUUUGGUGAGCCUCAACUGGAGCACUACCAAGGAUUCCAUCCUUGCUCACGAACAACUUAUCCAUCAUGAUGUCAAAUUUGUGAUUUAGAUCAUCCAUUUUGGAAUCAGUGGAUUCCAAUUUCUUAUUUGUUUCUGCCAUGUAAUUGUGUAACUGGGUCUCCAGUUUUUGACAUUUUCUUCUGUGGAUUUGGCUUGAGUUUCUGGUGCUGUCAUGGUACCAGGAUUCAACUCUGAUACCAAUUGUAAUAUACUAGAAUUUGAAAGAAAUAAUGGAAAGAAUAGGAUUUCUUUAUUGA
Long non-coding RNA from Nicotiana tabacum (common tobacco), 906 nucleotides. RefSeq lists it as uncharacterized. Lineage: Eukaryota; Viridiplantae; Streptophyta; Magnoliopsida; Solanales; Solanaceae. The record is from RefSeq and is a predicted model, not a curated record.